RNAcentral lists this ribosomal RNA (467 nucleotides) under Cyclops insignis. RNAcentral's name for it is "partial 12S ribosomal RNA". The record is from RNAcentral. Lineage: Eukaryota; Metazoa; Arthropoda; Copepoda; Cyclopoida; Cyclopidae.
CCGUUGUGCCAGCAGCUGCGGUUAUACUUUUAAAUAAAAUUUUAUUGAAUUGUUGUCUUAAAUAAAUUUUUCAUCUGUUUAAAGGUCAAACAAAGUUUAUUGCAAAUCUUUUUGAAUUAAUUCACAAAACCGGAAUAGAACCCGGGUAUGCUUUUUUACUAGGUAUUAUUUAUAAACCUAAAUUACAUGGCAGUGAUUUAUCCUAAUUAGAGAAUUUUGGUUCUUAAACUGACAACCCUCAAUUUUAUUCACCGAUGUAAAUAGUUUAUGUGUGGUUGUAAAAAAAUAAAUUUUAAUUUAAAUUUUAACCAAAUGACAUGUAGCUUUACUCGGGGAAACUGAAAUGCUAUUAAAAUUUUUAAUCUAAUUUCAGGAUUUAAUAGUAGGUCUUAACCUAUCGAAAAAGUUAUAAAUCAGGUUCAUAUUGUCCGUCACUCUCUCCUAGAGAUAAGUCGUAACAAUAGUAG